Molecule: ribosomal RNA, 478 nt
Filed under: uncultured bacterium
Lineage: Bacteria
Description: partial 16S ribosomal RNA
Rfam family: Bacterial small subunit ribosomal RNA
Source: RNAcentral
GACGAACGCUGGCGGCGUGCUUAACACAUGCAAGUCGAACGGUAAGGCCCUUCGGGGUACACGAGUGGCGAACGGGUGAGUAACACGUGGGUGAUCUGCCCUGCACUUCGGGAUAAGCCUGGGAAACUGGGUCUAAUACCGGAUAGGACCACUGCCUGCAUGGGUGGUGGUGGAAAGCUUUUGCGGUGUGGGAUGGGCCCGCGGCCUAUCAGCUUGUUGGUGGGGUGAUGGCCUACCAAGGCGACGACGGGUAGCCGGCCUGAGAGGGUGACCGGCCACACUGGGACUGAGAUACGGCCCAGACUCCUACGGGAGGCAGCAGUGGGGAAUAUUGCACAAUGGGCGCAAGUCUGAUGCGGCGACGCCGCGUGAGGGAUGACGGCCUUCGGGUUGUAAACCUCUUUCAGCACCGACGAAGCGCAAGUGACGGUAGGUGCAGAAGAAGGACCGGCCAACUACGUGCCAGCCGCCGCUGUAA